This 427-nucleotide ribosomal RNA is filed under the name uncultured bacterium. Its description in RNAcentral is "bacterial SSU rRNA". It matches the Rfam family "Bacterial small subunit ribosomal RNA", at positions 355 to 774 of the family's 1533-position model. The record is from RNAcentral.
UGGGGAAUUUUGGACAAUGGGCGCAAGCCUGAUCCAGCAAUGCCGCGUGCAGGAUGAAGGCCUUCGGGUUGUAAACUGCUUUUGUACGGAACGAAACGGCUCUGGUUAAUACCUGGGGCUAAUGACGGUACCGUAAGAAUAAGCACCGGCUAACUACGUGCCAGCAGCCGCGGUAAUACGUAGGGUGCGAGCGUUAAUCGGAAUUACUGGGCGUAAAGCGUGCGCAGGCGGUGAUGUAAGACAUAUGUGAAAUCCCCGGGCUCAACCUGGGACCUGCAUUUGUGACUGCAUCGAUGGAGUGCGGCAGAGGGGGAUGGAAUUCCGCGUGUAGCAGUGAAAUGCGUAGAUAUGCGGAGGAACACCGAUGGCGAAGGCAAUCCCCUGGGCCUGCACUGACGCUCAUGCACGAAAGAGUGGGGAGCAAACA